This 381-nucleotide ribosomal RNA is filed under the name uncultured bacterium. Its description in RNAcentral is "bacterial SSU rRNA". It matches the Rfam family "Bacterial small subunit ribosomal RNA", at positions 335 to 705 of the family's 1533-position model. The record is from RNAcentral.
ACUCCUACGGGAGGCAGCAGUGGGGAAUAUUGCACAAUGGGCGCAAGCCUGAUGCAGCCAUGCCGCGUGUAUGAAGAAGGCCUUCGGGUUGUAAAGUACUUUCAGCAGUGAGGAAGGCGGAGUCGGUUAAUAGCGGCCUCGUUUGACGUUAGCUGCAGAAGAAGCACCGGCUAACUCCGUGCCAGCAGCCGCGGUAAUACGGAGGGUGCGAGCGUUAAUCGGAAUUACUGGGCGUAAAGCGCAAUGCAGGUGGUUCGUUAAGUCAGAUGUGAAAGCCCGGGGCUCAACCUCGGAAUUGACAUUUGAAACUGGCAGACUAGAGUACUGUAGAGGGGGGUAGAAUUUCAGGUGUAGCGGUGAAAUGCGUAGAGAUCUAGAAGG